This 2807-nucleotide ribosomal RNA is filed under the name Escherichia coli. Its description in RNAcentral is "bacterial LSU rRNA". It matches the Rfam family "Bacterial large subunit ribosomal RNA". Lineage: Bacteria; Pseudomonadati; Pseudomonadota; Gammaproteobacteria; Enterobacterales; Enterobacteriaceae. The record is from RNAcentral.
UUAAGCGACUAAGCGUACACGGUGGAUGCCCUGGCAGUCAGAGGCGAUGAAGGACGUGCUAAUCUGCGAUAAGCGUCGGUAAGGUGAUAUGAACCGUUAUAACCGGCGAUUUCCGAAUGGGGAAACCCAGUGUGUUUCGACACACUAUCAUUAACUGAAUCCAUAGGUUAAUGAGGCGAACCGGGGGAACUGAAACAUCUAAGUACCCCGAGGAAAAGAAAUCAACCGAGAUUCCCCCAGUAGCGGCGAGCGAACGGGGAGCAGCCCAGAGCCUGAAUCAGUNUGUGAGCUCGAUGAGUAGGGCGGGACACGUGGUAUCCUGUCUGAAUAUGGGGGGACCAUCCUCCAAGGCUAAAUACUCCUGACUGACCGAUAGUGAACCAGUACCGUGAGGGAAAGGCGAAAAGAACCCCGGCGAGGGGAGUGAAAAAGAACCUGAAACCGUGUACGUACAAGCAGUGGGAGCACGCUUAGGCGUGUGACUGCGUACCUUUUGUAUAAUGGGUCAGCGACUUAUAUUCUGUAGCAAGGUUAACCGAAUAGGGGAGCCGAAGGGAAACCGAGUCUUAACUGGGCGUUAAGUUGCAGGGUAUAGACCCGAAACCCGGUGAUCUAGCCAUGGGCAGGUUGAAGGUUGGGUAACACUAACUGGAGGACCGAACCGACUAAUGUUGAAAAAUUAGCGGAUGACUUGUGGCUGGGGGUGAAAGGCCAAUCAAACCGGGAGAUAGCUGGUUCUCCCCGAAAGCUAUUUAGGUAGCGCCUCGUGAAUUCAUCUCCGGGGGUAGAGCACUGUUUCGGCAAGGGGGUCAUCCCGACUUACCAACCCGAUGCAAACUGCGAAUACCGGAGAAUGUUAUCACGGGAGACACACGGCGGGUGCUAACGUCCGUCGUGAAGAGGGAAACAACCCAGACCGCCAGCUAAGGUCCCAAAGUCAUGGUUAAGUGGGAAACGAUGUGGGAAGGCCCAGACAGCCAGGAUGUUGGCUUAGAAGCAGCCAUCAUUUAAAGAAAGCGUAAUAGCUCACUGGUCGAGUCGGCCUGCGCGGAAGAUGUAACGGGGCUAAACCAUGCACCGAAGCUGCGGCAGCGACNNNNNNNNNNNNNNNNNNNNNNNNNNNNNNNNNNNNAUGCUGGAGGUAUCAGAAGUGCGAAUGCUGACAUAAGUAACGAUAAAGCGGGUGAAAAGCCCGCUCGCCGGAAGACCAAGGGUUCCUGUCCAACGUUAAUCGGGGCAGGGUGAGUCGACCCCUAAGGCGAGGCCGAAAGGCGUAGUCGAUGGGAAACAGGUUAAUAUUCCUGUACUUGGUGUUACUGCGAAGGGGGGACGGAGAAGGCUAUGUUGGCCGGGCGACGGUUGUCCCGGUUUAAGCGUGUAGGCUGGUUUUCCAGGCAAAUCCGGAAAAUCAAGGCUGAGGCGUGAUGACGAGGCACUACGGUGCUGAAGCAACAAAUGCCCUGCUUCCAGGAAAAGCCUCUAAGCAUCAGGUAACAUCAAAUCGUACCCCAAACCGACACAGGUGGUCAGGUAGAGAAUACCAAGGCGCUUGAGAGAACUCGGGUGAAGGAACUAGGCAAAAUGGUGCCGUAACUUCGGGAGAAGGCACGCUGAUAUGUAGGUGAAGUCCCUCGCGGAUGGAGCUGAAAUCAGUCGAAGAUACCAGCUGGCUGCAACUGUUUAUUAAAAACACAGCACUGUGCAAACACGAAAGUGGACGUAUACGGUGUGACGCCUGCCCGGUGCCGGAAGGUUAAUUGAUGGGGUUAGCGCAAGCGAAGCUCUUGAUCGAAGCCCCGGUAAACGGCGGCCGUAACUAUAACGGUCCUAAGGUAGCGAAAUUCCUUGUCGGGUAAGUUCCGACCUGCACGAAUGGCGUAAUGAUGGCCAGGCUGUCUCCACCCGAGACUCAGUGAAAUUGAACUCGCUGUGAAGAUGCAGUGUACCCGCGGCAAGACGGAAAGACCCCGUGAACCUUUACUAUAGCUUGACACUGAACAUUGAGCCUUGAUGUGUAGGAUAGGUGGGAGGCUUAGAAGUGUGGACGCCAGUCUGCAUGGAGCCGACCUUGAAAUACCACCCUUUAAUGUUUGAUGUUCUAACGUUGACCCGUAAUCCGGGUUGCGGACAGUGUCUGGUGGGUAGUUUGACUGGGGCGGUCUCCUCCUAAAGAGUAACGGAGGAGCACGAAGGUUGGCUAAUCCUGGUCGGACAUCAGGAGGUUAGUGCAAUGGCAUAAGCCAGCUUGACUGCGAGCGUGACGGCGCGAGCAGGUGCGAAAGCAGGUCAUAGUGAUCCGGUGGUUCUGAAUGGAAGGGCCAUCGCUCAACGGAUAAAAGGUACUCCGGGGAUAACAGGCUGAUACCGCCCAAGAGUUCAUAUCGACGGCGGUGUUUGGCACCUCGAUGUCGGCUCAUCACAUCCUGGGGCUGAAGUAGGUCCCAAGGGUAUGGCUGUUCGCCAUUUAAAGUGGUACGCGAGCUGGGUUUAGAACGUCGUGAGACAGUUCGGUCCCUAUCUGCCGUGGGCGCUGGAGAACUGAGGGGGGCUGCUCCUAGUACGAGAGGACCGGAGUGGACGCAUCACUGGUGUUCGGGUUGUCAUGCCAAUGGCACUGCCCGGUAGCUAAAUGCGGAAGAGAUAAGUGCUGAAAGCAUCUAAGCACGAAACUUGCCCCGAGAUGAGUUCUCCCUGACUCCUUGAGAGUCCUGAAGGAACGUUGAAGACGACGACGUUGAUAGGUCGGGUGUGUAAGCGCAGCGAUGCGUUGAGCUAACCGGUACUAAUGAACCGUGAGGCUUAACCUU